RNAcentral lists this non-coding RNA (31 nucleotides) under Rattus norvegicus (Norway rat). The record is from RNAcentral. Lineage: Eukaryota; Metazoa; Chordata; Mammalia; Rodentia; Muridae.
UGUCUCUUUGAAGGCAAAGGUUGUCUAGGUU